Molecule: long non-coding RNA, 132 nt
Filed under: Zonotrichia albicollis (white-throated sparrow)
Lineage: Eukaryota; Metazoa; Chordata; Aves; Passeriformes; Passerellidae
Description: lncRNA (ENSZALG00000013814.1)
Source: RNAcentral
CUGAGCUUAGAGAAGUGAAGGUGAUGUUUUCAGACCCUGGAAGAGGAAUUUACUUUUUCCUUCAGGAAGCAGAGCAGCUCCCUGUGCACCCAUACCACACCUCAGAGGACACCAGGAGCUGAGCCUGUGCUG